UAAUCAUAAAUCAAAUAUAUGAAACACGAUGUAGUAAUAACACACACACACGCACACACGCACGUCAACAUUUCCUAAAAUGAUGCGUGUUCAUCUUCCGCCUCCCCCCCCACACCCACUCUCUCUCUCUCACACACACACACACACUUAAUGCGUUACCCAGUUUUUAAAGGCUUUGUUAUUAAUUCGGAGCGGAGGGGACGAGCCCCCCCAAGACGUGAUUACAUGGAUAUAAAACACCCCCCCCCCCUCCCUCCUUGGCUGUCGCCAUUUUAAGCAAAGCGACAUGCAGCAAAGCGCAGCAGAAAGAAGAAGAAGCAGCAGCAGAAGAAGAAGAAGAAGAACUAAUAGCGUAACUCAUGAGGGUUCUGGGGGGCUUGAAGGGGGGGGGGGCUUCACUGAUGGGGACUUGCAGGAAAAGAAAAGCCCCUCUCUGUCCGGCUGCGGGUGGACGUGACACUGGAGCCCCGCCGGGCCCCCUCCUCCCGCCCCGUGGAUUCUCUCUUCUCGUUUGUUUGCAGCGGCUCCCGGUGCUCGAGGCCGCCGGCGGAGGGGAGGGAAGACUACGACGUACCUACGGGAAGCGACGGACACGUGACGCCGACGUCACCGGCGGUGGAGUUUGGCGUGAGAGGGGAGCUCGAGCUGCUGCUACGAAGACCCACCGGUAGAUGGAGGAGGGGGUUUGAACCCCGGUCCCGGUUGAACGGGACUGCUACAGCUAGUCACACCUGUCCUUCUCCCAGGUGACCGCUCUCUUAAAGAGAUAGUACACGACUGCUCACCUCUAGUGCACACUGCCCUCUCCGAGUACCCUUUGUCUCGUGCGUCAUAUGCGCGGGCUGGUCUCUGCUGGAGGAUCUGGGUCUGUCCACAGUGGAGUGGUCUCUGCUGGAGGAUCUGGGUCUGAGCUGAAGGGGGUUCUGGUGAACCUGUAUGAUGUCAUCUGGUUUCUCCAGAAUCCAAACCAUAUAAGUAGAACAUUUUCUUUGUGAUGGUCUCGUUUACUGAUGGAGAUCUUUAGAGAGUCAGAACUGAACUGAGACUGGUUCAGGACCAGUUAAAAGUUUAGAAAGGAAGCCCCCUGCAGGACAGAAGAGGGAACCACAGACAGAAUAUAAUAUCUAUUAUUGGCGGUUGUUUUGCACAUGCACUCAUUUAUUCCAUAGAAAAAAGUAUAAGCUGCAGGUUAUAACAGCAGAGUAAGGGGGAAUUGGUGUAAGGUUUCUAAUUUCUCCUCAAAAUUAAAUAAUAUCUAUUUCCAUACUUUUAUCAGAAAAGGAACUUGACUAGAGAUGUUUUUUUUAUCUGUGGCUGAUCAUUAUUGAAAUACCUGAAUCGCAUUGGGUUGUGGCCAAUCUACUUUAAACAACACAAACAACAGUUGAUUAAUAAUUGAUUAAUAAUUGAUUAAUAAUUUACAGAAAACAUUUGUGUUUCGAUAUUCUGUUAUGCAGCAGACCAAUGUAAAACUUCAAUGAAGAAAGAAUCUUGAGUUUGCAGCCUGAUAUAAUGUGAUGGAUGUGUGAAAAUGCUUUUAUGACUGUAUCCAAUGCUACUAAUUUUAUUUGCUAUAACAAAGACAUAUGGUUCUGUGGCUUGUAGUAACUUAAAGGUGCAAUAAAAAAUAUAUUUUCAUUA
Pungitius pungitius (ninespine stickleback) is the source of this 1641-nucleotide long non-coding RNA. RefSeq lists it as uncharacterized. NCBI's taxonomy places the organism in Eukaryota, Metazoa, Chordata, Actinopteri, Perciformes, Gasterosteidae. The record is from RefSeq and is a predicted model, not a curated record. The transcript is spliced from 2 exons.